AAAAAAUUGUUGAAACUCAGAAAUCAUCGAGACGAUGAUGCUAUACCAGAUUAAACACGAUCGAAGUUUUCUUCUCAAAAUUCAACAUCUCUUUUAACCUAAAUUACUCAAUUACUUACCCUGAUUUGCUUCCCUAGAGGAAUUUUUUUUUGAAAUUGUCAGGGUCUUAAUAGAGCAAUUUUAGCCAAAAGAGAUUGAACUGAAACAACAUCGAACUGCUAAAUUCGACUGCUUCAAAAGGAAAUUGAAACUAGGGCACCAGAACCAGCACCACCACCAUCAGCACCACCAUAACCAGCACCACAACCACCAAAUUAUACACAAAUAUGAUGAAACGGCAUCACUCCCAUAGAGUUGGAUCCAUAUAUGGUGGUAGUUGUACCAAGCCGAGAAUGGUAUUAUUUGGACAAGGACCGCAAGGGGAUUCACUCACGAAAUUUCAGGUGUCAAAUGAAAUUUCAGGCGUGGAUAGUAAGAGCUUGUUUGUUUGCAGCUGACUCGGUGUCUGGGUCUGAGUCAACCCCUGACUCGCGCCGAGUCAGCAGUCAGACUGUUUGUUUUGUAAAUUUAGCAACCCCUGACUCGACAUCUGAGUCGAACCUAACCCCUGACUCGGGCCCUAGGGAGUCAGGCAUUGAAAUGCUGCUGAGUAGGUGGUUCAAACCCCUGACUCACUAAAAUUGACGAAAAUGCCCUCACGUUUUAGAUCAAAAAAACUCAUUUCCUUUCUCAUUUUCUUCGUUCAUUCCGUCGGAAGCAGAGAUGGGUGAUGAGGAGGCAAACCCUAGAUCUAUUCUCAACUGAUAUCUUCUUCACCUCUCUCAACAAAUCGAGUAAUUUCUAUCUCAAUCAUCACUCUCGUCUCAUCUUUCCAUCUCUUUCAAAUCAUUUAAAAGCUUCUUUUAGAAGGUUUUAUGUUUUUUACUCUCUCUCUCUUUCAUGUCUUCUCGAUCUGCUCUGAAGAAGAGUUUCUGUUCUGAAGAAAUCCAACCAGCUGAAAGCAUCAAUCUGGGUUUUUAGGUCAUCUGUGAGAUUCAGAAGCAUCGAUCUGAUAAUCAGUUCUCUAUGGAGAAAAAGGAAGAUGAGAAAGCAAAUAAGAUAACUUUUAGGAGCGUCCCAGAAUUUAGAGGGCUAUUUAUUGAACAGUGUUUGGCACAAGCUACUGAGUAUGGAUUUUCUGGAACUUCUUUGAAGCAAACUUCGUGGGGAAAUUUGUGCAAGUUCUUUUCUGAGAAGUAUGACUGCACCAUCACACAAAAAAAGUUGAGAAACCACUGGGAUUACUUGCGAACCCAAUAUGUCACUUGGUCCCGUCUCUUAGCUAGAACCGGACAUGGGUAUAACGCGGAGACGAACACAUUUGAUUGGAGCGAAGAGCAAUGGGUUGAAUUAGACAAGGUAAGAGACUAUUUCAGUUUUGUUUGGACUUUAUGAUUGAAUUAAAUUUAUGCUUAAUAGUUAAAUUUAUGCUUAAUUUUCAGUUUUGCUUGGAUAGUUAUUUGACUCUUCCAAAGGACAUUCCAA
Molecule: long non-coding RNA, 1524 nt
Organism: Papaver somniferum (opium poppy)
Lineage: Eukaryota; Viridiplantae; Streptophyta; Magnoliopsida; Ranunculales; Papaveraceae
Exons: 5
Source: RefSeq, a predicted model, not a curated record